UACGUAGGGUGCGAGCGUUGUCCGGAAUUAUUGGGCGUAAAGAGCUCGUAGGCGGUUUGUUGCGUCUAUCGUGAAAACCUGCAGCUUAACUGUGGGCUUGCGGUGGAUACGGGCAGACUUGAGUUCGGUAGGGGAGACUGGAAUUCCUGGUGUAGCGGUGAAAUGCGCAGAUAUCAGGAGGAACACCGGUGGCGAAGGCGGAUCUCUGGGCCUUACCUGACGCUGAGGCGCGAAAGCUAGGGGAGCAAACAGG
This 253-nucleotide ribosomal RNA is filed under the name uncultured bacterium. RNAcentral describes it as "partial 16S ribosomal RNA". It matches the Rfam family "Bacterial small subunit ribosomal RNA", at positions 524 to 776 of the family's 1533-position model. The record is from RNAcentral.